UACAGAGGUCUCAAGCGUUGUUCGGAUUCAUUGGGCGUAAAGGGUGUGUAGGUGGCGCCGUAAGUCGGGUGUGAAAUUUCGGAGCUUAACUCCGAAACUGCAUUCGAUACUGCGGUGCUUGAGGACUGGAGAGGAGACUGGAAUUCAUGGUGUAGCAGUGAAAUGCGUAGAGAUCAUGAGGAAGACCAGUGGCGAAGGCGGGUCUCUGGACAGUUCCUGACGCUGAGGCACGAAAGCCAGGGGAGCAAACGGG
This 253-nucleotide ribosomal RNA is filed under the name uncultured bacterium. RNAcentral describes it as "partial 16S ribosomal RNA". It matches the Rfam family "Bacterial small subunit ribosomal RNA", at positions 524 to 776 of the family's 1533-position model. The record is from RNAcentral.